AAUACCGCAUAUUCUGUGAGCAGAAAGCAGGGGAUCGCAAGACCUUGCGCUCUUUGAGCGGCCGAUGUCAGAUUAGCUAGUUGGUGAGGUAACGGCUUACCAAAGGCGACGAUCUGUAGCGGGUCUGAGAGGAUGAUCCGCCACACUGGAACUGAGACACGGUCCAGACUCCUACGGGAGGCAGCAGUGGGGAAUUUUGGACAAUGGGGGCAACCCUGAUCCAGCCAUGCCGCGUGAGUGAAGAAGGCCUUCGGGUUGUAAAGCUCUUUCGGCCGGGAAGAAAUCGCAUGGGUUAAUACCCUGUGUGGAUGACGGUACCGGCAUAAGAAGCACCGGCUAACUACGUG
RNAcentral lists this ribosomal RNA (347 nucleotides) under uncultured bacterium. RNAcentral describes it as "bacterial SSU rRNA". It matches the Rfam family "Bacterial small subunit ribosomal RNA", at positions 165 to 507 of the family's 1533-position model. The record is from RNAcentral.